ACGCUCGACACCUAGGAGGCAGCAGUGAGGAAUAUUGGUCAAUGGACGCAAGUCUGAACCAGCCAUGCCGCGUGCAGGAUGACGGCUCUAUGAGUUGUAAACUGCUUUUGUACGAGGGUAAACGCAGAUACGUGUAUCUGUCUGAAAGUAUCGUACGAAUAAGGAUCGGCUAACUCCGUGCCAACAGCCGCGGUAAUCUGAGCGGGCUGGCAAGGC
RNAcentral lists this ribosomal RNA (216 nucleotides) under uncultured bacterium. Its description in RNAcentral is "partial 16S ribosomal RNA". It matches the Rfam family "Bacterial small subunit ribosomal RNA", at positions 328 to 539 of the family's 1533-position model. The record is from RNAcentral.